CAUCUUCAGGGCCCCUCAACUGCACAGCCCUGAGUGUUCUGUGAAAUUUCCGAGUGAAGAGGCUGUGGAGGAGAAAGCAGCCUUCCGCCCCAACACCUGGAGCACUGCUGUCCUUCAGUUUCCCUCAAUAGCCCCUGGAACAGAUGACCAGGGAAAAGCAUGUGAUUUCAGCCAGGACACGGAGGAGAGAGGCUACUCCUGAUGGCCAGGGCCCCAGGCUAUCUUGAACUAUCAAGGACUAAAGAUAAUCCCCCUUGGACUCCUGCCUGUAAAGAAAUCUCCACCAGGACCUCUUGAAAGACUCAUGGCACAUGUUUAAAUUAAAUAAGAAUCUGAAAGAGGACGGAUAUGUAUAUACGGAUGACUGAGUCACUUUGUUGGACAGCAGAAAUUAUCACGACCUUGUAAAUCAACUCCAAUAAAACUUAAAAAAGUUAAAUGUAGCUUGUAUGG
Molecule: long non-coding RNA, 453 nt
Filed under: Sus scrofa (pig)
Lineage: Eukaryota; Metazoa; Chordata; Mammalia; Artiodactyla; Suidae
Description: lncRNA (ENSSSCG00030034649.1)
Source: RNAcentral